UUAAUUGAAACCAAAUCAGAGGUAAAUUAUUGUUAAUAAUUUAAUUGAAUUUUAAACAUUCCAAUUAAU
RNAcentral lists this transfer RNA (69 nucleotides) under Ceratobaeus sp. M145. RNAcentral's name for it is "tRNA-Asn". Lineage: Eukaryota; Metazoa; Arthropoda; Insecta; Hymenoptera; Scelionidae. The record is from RNAcentral.